Molecule: non-coding RNA, 1461 nt
Organism: Paramuricea clavata
Lineage: Eukaryota; Metazoa; Cnidaria; Anthozoa; Malacalcyonacea; Plexauridae
Source: the annotation of a GenBank genome assembly
GCAGAAACAAAUUAUCGCUUUGUUUUUUAGAUUGUGUUAACGAGCGUGGGGAUGUAGAAUGUAAAAAUCUCGCUCAUAUCUGUGAAAGUCACGCUGCCGUUAUGAAGAUCAAAUGUGCGAAAAGUUGCGGAUUUUGUAAAAGCAAGUAUUGCGUGAACGUUUUCAAAUAAUAUAUUUACAUCAGAUUAUUUCUUAAUUUCCCUCGGUUUUAUUCACCGAUAAUCACCUCAACUUCGGCGAAUAAUUGUUAAUUGAUAUUUCGAAAUUUGCGAUAAGGUAGCCUACGUCCUCUCAUACAUGUUAUCUCAGCCAACAGCUGUCGUGUACAGCAGGCUUAAUGUGUGCUUCACACUUUCUGAAUUAUUUUCAUCCUUUACGCUAUUAUUUUUAGAAAUGGAAAGAAAACCUGAGUUACAUUGGCAAAUCGGCACGUGGUUGGAGGUACAAGAUACUUCAUAUUUGCUUAUGCUUCUACGUGAGGAUUGUUGUAUUCAUUUUGUUAUUUUUUAAAUUAACUCUAGUGUCGCGGAGGCUUUCGGAGGCGUUCAGUGAAAUGUUUCUACAAGCUCAAUGGUCAUGAUAACCUUGUUCAAAAUAAGUACUGCAGACGUGUGCUGGGAGACGAACCCACAAAGUACAAGGAUUGCCCGUUAGGUGCUUGACUUUACACAAUCAAAUUUAUUUGAUUAAAAUGUGUGACAGUAUUAACCUCAUUAAAUUUUUUUAGAUAAUUACUCAAAACGCAAGUUGACUUUCAGUCAAAUUUUUAUUCUAACUUACUUUAGCUCGUGUUUAUUGUAAACAUUUUUUACUAACGAUUAAACGAUAAUCGAUAUACUAUCGGUUAUAACCCGAUAAUCGACAAGUUAAAACUUGUGUGAACGUUACGAGACAAUAAUUAUUUAUAUUUAUUGUAACAGUUGUUGUAAUAUGCAGGUUAAGUAUCUUUCAAACAGAAUGUUUACUCUGGUUUGUGAUUAUCUGUUCAUCGAAUUUCAUUAUUCUAUUUAUCAUAUUUUGUACCACCCCAGGGAUCGCAGAGGUAGUAGGGGUGGGGGGGGAGCAUACCGAGUUAAAGACAAAAAAGGUAAUUGAUAUGUAAGGUGAAUAUAAUCUGACAACAAUUAGCUAGCGCCCUGGCUUUGUUCAUAACGAUCGUGCCCCCUCCUGACCCUCUCCCCACUUCCAAACAGACUCCGUGGUCAUUGUAUCCACAUUGUAAACCUUACUAGUAAUAACUAGCGAUGCCUGCGGUAGAGGCUAAGUGAAAACUUGACUAGUGAUGGGCGACUACCGAUUACGGAGUAAUCGAUACCGCUUGAUACCAGGCUACUACCGGAAGUAAUCGAUACCAGAGUGGUAUCGAAAUAUGUUUGAUUACUCGCUGAAAUUACUAUAAUUAUUAUAAAGGUUACUUUUCAGCAGUAUUUAAAAUAAAAAUCUGCAUAUUUUGCAAGUGUG